This 253-nucleotide ribosomal RNA is filed under the name uncultured bacterium. Its description in RNAcentral is "partial 16S ribosomal RNA". It matches the Rfam family "Bacterial small subunit ribosomal RNA", at positions 524 to 776 of the family's 1533-position model. The record is from RNAcentral.
UACGGAGGGAGCUAGCGUUAUUCGGAACUACUGGGCGUAAAGCGCACGUAGGCGGCUUUGUAAGUAAGAGGUGAAAGCCCGGAGCUCAACUCCGGAACUGCCUUUUAGACUGCAUCGCUUGAAUCCAGGAGAGGUGAGUGGAAUUCCGAGUGUAGAGGUGAAAUUCGUAGAUAUUCGGAAGAACACCAGUGGCGAAGGCGUCUCACUGGACUGGUAUUGACGCCGAGGUGCGAAAGCGUGGGGAGCAAACAGG